Molecule: ribosomal RNA, 253 nt
Filed under: uncultured bacterium
Lineage: Bacteria
Description: partial 16S ribosomal RNA
Rfam family: Bacterial small subunit ribosomal RNA
Source: RNAcentral
UACGUAGGGCGCAAGCGUUAUCCGGAGUUACUGGGCGUAAAGGGCGCGUAGGCGGUUCGCUAAGUUGGAUGUGAAAACUCUGGGCUCAACCCAGAGCCUGCAUCCAAAACUGGCGGGCUAGAGUUCUGGAGGGGGUAGCGGAAUUCCUGGUGUAGCGGUGAAAUGCGUAGAUAUCAGGAGGAACACCGGUGGCGAAGGCGGCUACCUGGACAGAAACUGACGCUGAGGCGCGAAAGCUAGGGGAGCAAACAGG